RNAcentral lists this ribosomal RNA (254 nucleotides) under uncultured Cortinarius. RNAcentral describes it as "partial 28S ribosomal RNA". It matches the Rfam family "Eukaryotic large subunit ribosomal RNA", at positions 1 to 246 of the family's 3401-position model. Lineage: Eukaryota; Fungi; Basidiomycota; Agaricomycetes; Agaricales; Cortinariaceae. The record is from RNAcentral.
GUGACCUCAAAUCAGGUAGGACUACCCGCUGAACUUAAGCAUAUCAAUAAGCGGAGGAAAAGAAACUAACAAGGAUUCCCCUAGUAACUGCGAGUGAAGCGGGAAAAGCUCAAAUUUAAAAUCUGGCGGCCUUUUUGCUGUCCGAGUUGUAAUCUAGAGAAGUGUUAUCCGCGCUGGACCGUGUACAAGUCUCCUGGAAUGGAGCAUCAUAGAGGGUGAGAAUCCCGUCUUUGACAUGGACUACCAGGGCUUUG